ACGAUUCAUCUGACGCUGCUCUAACCUGGCCUGUCAGUGUGUGGCGGGAUUCCGGGAGCGCCUCUCCACGUCCCCGUCACUCCUAAGCGAUUAAUUGCUAAUGUUUAUGUAAGACAGAAGAAAAGGAUGUCAUUCCGUAAAGUAAACAUCAUCAUCUGGGUCCUGGCUGUUGUUCUCUUCUUACUGGUUUUGCACCAUAACUUCCUCAGCUUGAGCAGUUUGUUAAAGAAUGACGUUUCAGACCAUUCAGACUGCGUUCCCUCCCUCUCACCCUCCCGAAGGAGAGAAGAACAAUCAUCAAUGGCAAGAGGCAGCUGCACAGAAGCAGCACCUAGAGCCGGCUUCACGCUCAGGAGGGGACGCUGGGACGCUACGACUCGUCCUUGUGGGAAGAUAUGUUUUCUUAAUAACUUUUAAUUUUAGAUGGCAAUCCCACAGUAGGAACUGAAUUUCUUGCAGCAUAGACUGGUUAUGAUUUAUAUGUUUUUUUUGUUUUGUUUUGUUGGAUUUGUUUUUGUCGAGACAGGGUUUCUCUGUGUAGCCCUGGCUGUCCUGGAACUCACUCUGUAGACUAGGCUGGCCUCGAACUCAGAAAUCCACCUGCCUCUGCCUCUCAGAGUGCUGGGAUUACAGGCGUGCACCACCACCGCCCUAUAAUUUGUAUGUUGUAUUUAUAGUUAUAACACCAGUGAUGGACCACCUUGGCGUACC
Apodemus sylvaticus (European woodmouse) is the source of this 711-nucleotide long non-coding RNA. RefSeq lists it as uncharacterized. NCBI's taxonomy places the organism in Eukaryota, Metazoa, Chordata, Mammalia, Rodentia, Muridae. The transcript has 4 exons. The record is from RefSeq and is a predicted model, not a curated record.